AGAUUGAACGCUGGCGGCAUGCCUUACACAUGCAAGUCGAACGGCAGCACGGGAGCAAUCCUGGUGGCGAGUGGCGAACGGGUGAGUAAUACAUCGGAACGUGCCCAAUCGUGGGGGAUAACGCAGCGAAAGCUGUGCUAAUACCGCAUAAGAUCUACGGAUGAAAGCAGGGGAUCGCAAGACCUUGCGCGAAUGGAGCGGCCGAUGGCAGAUUAGGUAGUUGGUGAGGUAAGGCUCACCAAGCCUUCGAUCUGUAGCUGGUCUGAGAGGACGACCAGCCACGACGUCGGGACUAGGAGACCGACCGGACCCAGACCUACCGUACGGGAGGCCAGCGACGGGUGGGGUAAUUUU
This 354-nucleotide ribosomal RNA is filed under the name uncultured soil bacterium. RNAcentral describes it as "bacterial SSU rRNA". It matches the Rfam family "Bacterial small subunit ribosomal RNA", at positions 26 to 366 of the family's 1533-position model. The record is from RNAcentral.